This 274-nucleotide ribosomal RNA is filed under the name uncultured bacterium. RNAcentral describes it as "partial 16S ribosomal RNA". It matches the Rfam family "Bacterial small subunit ribosomal RNA", at positions 523 to 796 of the family's 1533-position model. The record is from RNAcentral.
AUACGGAGGGUGCAAGCGUUAAUCGGAAUUACUGGGCGUAAAGCGUACGUAGGCGGUUCGUUAAGUUAGAUGUGAAAGCCCCGGGCUUAACCUGGGAACUGCAUUUAAAACUGGCGAACUAGAGUUGAGUAGAGGGGAGUGGAAUUUCAGGUGUAGCGGUGAAAUGCGUAGAGAUCUGAAGGAACACCAGUGGCGAGGGCGGCUCCCUGGACUCAAACUGACGCUGAGGUACGAAAGCGUGGGUAGCAAACGGGAUUAGAAACCCUAGUAGUCC